UCCCGGCAGCGGAGAAGGGUGUUUGAGGUGGUUUGCUGGGACUCGGCGGCCGGGAUCCUUUUGGGACAGAGGACCUUAAAGACUGACAUUUCCCAGAGAAAGGCGACUCUUAGUCGCAAGGUCCCCUCGCUAAAAUAAAGGGACCCAUUCAAACUGAGGUCCGGAAGAGAAAGGAUGAGGGCUACGUGCUACCGCAAGGUCCAAGCCGCGCGGCUAGGCUUUUUGACUCGGGGAGGAGUUCUUGCCCGGGUUUACUGAGCCCGUGGUGGCCCUCCUGAGCCAGCGUUAGGUGUGACCUGGACGGCGUGCGAGGACGGAACACGGGUUAAUGGAGAAGCGCGAGUGGGAACGACGGAGCCAGAAAGCACGUGGGGAGUAGGGGAAGCGCCAUUGGAUGCGCGAUUCCUGAUUCGCUGAGCCUCUGGUUCCCCUCUGAGCGACCUGGAAACCAUGGCAUCCCAGCGAUUCCUUCCAGAUGCUAAGUCCUAAGGUUUUUGAAGUUGCGGCGAGUGGGGACGACUCUUCGUUGCGGUGUGCAGGCUUCUCAUUGCGGUGGCUUCUCUUGUUGCGGAGCACGGGCUCUAGGGGCUGCUGAGUUGAGAGAACAUAAGCCUGUUGCUGCUGAAGACCACUCUAUAAAAAGAACCUGAUCUGAGAAUGAAGCCCAGCUCAGAGGGAAGCAGUCAAGAAGGGGAGAGAGACCAAGUUCUGAUGACAUCACUUGGCCCCUGGAUCCUGCUGGGCCAACCCCAGAACUUUUCAGUUUUUGAAAAACCAGUUUGCCGGGAUUUCUGUCACUUAUUACUGAAAGAAUUUUGGUAAAUAUACCUUCCAGGUGCAAGUACACUACUUCUAUCAUAUUUCCUUGAA
This is a long non-coding RNA of Globicephala melas (long-finned pilot whale), 870 nucleotides long. RefSeq lists it as uncharacterized. Lineage: Eukaryota; Metazoa; Chordata; Mammalia; Artiodactyla; Delphinidae. The record is from RefSeq and is a predicted model, not a curated record.